Molecule: small nuclear RNA, 106 nt
Organism: Orcinus orca (killer whale)
Lineage: Eukaryota; Metazoa; Chordata; Mammalia; Artiodactyla; Delphinidae
Source: RefSeq, a predicted model, not a curated record
GUGUCACUUCGGCAGCACAUAUACUAAAAUUGGAACCAAAUAGAGAAAAUUAACAUGGCCCCUGGGCAAGGAUAACAUGCAAAUCCAUGAAGCGUUCCAUAUUUUU